RNAcentral lists this ribosomal RNA (523 nucleotides) under uncultured Nosocomiicoccus sp. RNAcentral's name for it is "partial 16S ribosomal RNA". Lineage: Bacteria; Bacillati; Bacillota; Bacilli; Caryophanales; Staphylococcaceae. The record is from RNAcentral.
CACGUAGUUAGCCGUGGCUUUCUGGUUAAGUACCGUCACACAGUAAACAGUUACUCUUACUGUCGUUCUUCCUUAACAACAGUGCUUUACGAUCCGAAGACCUUCUUCGCACACGCGGCGUUGCUCCGUCAGGCUUUCGCCCAUUGCGGAAGAUUCCCUACUGCUGCCUCCCGUAGGAGUCUGGACCGUGUCUCAGUUCCAGUGUGGCCGAUCACCCUCUCAGGUCGGCUACGCAUCGUCGCCUUGGUAAGCCGUUACCUUACCACCAGCUAAUGCGCCGCAGGCCCAUCCUUAAGCGAUAAAAACUCCACCUUUCAACUUCUAUACCGUUGUAUAAAGUAUUAUCCGGUAUUAGCCACGGUUUCCCGCGGUUAUCCCAGUCUUAAGGGUAGGUUGCCCACGUGUUACUCACCCGUCCGCCGCUCGAUGAUUACGGUGUCCCGAAGGACGGUGUAAUCAGUCGCGCUCGACUUGCAUGUAUUAGGCACGCCGCCAGCGUUCAUCCUGAGCCAGGAUCAAACUC